AAAACAACUCUCAGCAACGGAUAUCUUGGCUCUUGCAACGAUGAAGAACGCAGCGAAAUGCGAUACGUAGUGUGAAUUGCAGAAUUCCGCGAAUCAUCGAGUUUUUGAACGCAAGUUGCGCCCGAGGCUUGUCCGAGGGCAUUUCCGCCAGAGCGUCACC
RNAcentral lists this ribosomal RNA (160 nucleotides) under Thamniopsis pendula. RNAcentral describes it as "5.8S ribosomal RNA". It matches the Rfam family "5.8S ribosomal RNA". From Rfam's summary of the family: 5.8S ribosomal RNA (5.8S rRNA) is a component of the large subunit of the eukaryotic ribosome. It is transcribed by RNA polymerase I as part of the 45S precursor that also contains 18S and 28S rRNA. The record is from RNAcentral. Lineage: Eukaryota; Viridiplantae; Streptophyta; Bryopsida; Hookeriales; Callicostaceae.